Molecule: unclassified non-coding RNA, 335 nt
Filed under: soil metagenome
Description: partial contains 5.8S ribosomal RNA, internal transcribed spacer 2, and large subunit ribosomal RNA
Rfam family: 5.8S ribosomal RNA (bases 1-120)
Source: RNAcentral
GAUGAAGAACGUAGCGAAAUGCGAUAAGUAAUGUGAAUUGCAGAAUUCAGUGAAUCAUCGAAUCUUUGAACGCACAUUGCGCCCGCCAGUAUUCUGGCGGGCAUGCCUGUUCGAGCGUCAUUUCAACCAUCAAGCCCCAGGCUUGUGUUGGGGACCUGCGGCUGCCGCAGGCCCUGAAAACCAGUGGCGGGCUCGCUAGUCACACCGAGCGUAGUAGCAUACACAUCGCUCAGGGCGUGCUGCGGGUUCCGGCCGUUAAACCCCUUUUUUACCCAAGGUUGACCUCGGAUCAGGUAGGAAGACCCGCUGAACUUAAGCAUAUCAAUAAGCGGAGA